Delitschia confertaspora ATCC 74209 is the source of this 131-nucleotide non-coding RNA. Lineage: Eukaryota; Fungi; Ascomycota; Dothideomycetes; Pleosporales; Delitschiaceae. The record is from the annotation of a GenBank genome assembly.
GACUUGAUGGUCUAGUGGUACAAUUCCUGUGUAAGUAAUUUCCAAUCUUCUCGAGCAACCCUAACCAGCACCAGUUGGGGUAUCCUAUACGUGAAUGCAGGAGGUCCUGAAUUCGAAUCUCGGUCAAGUCC